GCGGGGCCCCUCGCUGGAGAGCCAAACAGGAAGGACUGCCCCCUAAGCGCCGGGCUCUGGGUCAGGGAAUCGCCGCCGCCGCAGAGCUGCAGCUCCGGGCCGAGGGUAGGGAGGCAAGCACGGAGCGGGCGGCCUGGGAGGGCUCCGCGGGUCCCUGCGCCCGGUCGCCAGCCGCGCCCCGGCCCCGGGACCGUCGCCGCCGCCUCUGGCCUCGGCUCGCUCUCCGCCCACCUUCCCUGGUUCGCCACUGCGGGCGGUCUGCGGCCGCCGCGAUGAAGGCGAGCUCGGGGGACCAGGGGAGCCCCCCGUGCUUCCUGCGCUUCCCGCGGCCCGUGCGGGUGGUAAGUGGCGCCGAGGCCGAGCUCAAGUGCGUGGUCCUGGGGGAGCCGCCGCCCGUCGUGGUGUGGGAAAAGGGCGGGCAGCAGCUGGCGGCCUCGGAACGCCUGAGCUUCCCGGCGGACGGCGCGGAGCACGGCCUGCUGCUGAGCGGCGCGCUGCCCACCGACGCGGGGGUCUACGUGUGCCGCGCCCGCAACGCGGCCGGAGAGGCCUACGCGGCGGCCGCCAUCACCGUGCUGGAGCCGCCGGCCUCCGAGCCCGAUCCGCAGCCCGCCGAGCGCCCGCUGCCGCCGCCGGGGCCCGGGGAGGGCGCCCCGGUCUUCCUGACGGGGCCGCGGUCCCAGUGGGUGCUGCGGGGGGCGGAGGUGGUGUUGACGUGCCGGGCGGGGGGCCUCCCCGAGCCCACGCUGUACUGGGAGAAGGACGGGAUGGCGCUGGACGAAGUGUGGGACAGCAGCCACUUCGCGCUCGAGCCUGGCCGUGCCGAGGACGGCCCGGGCGUGAGCCUGGCGCUGCGCAUCCUGGCGGCGCGGCUGCCGGACUCCGGCGUCUACGUGUGCCACGCCCGCAACGCGCACGGCCACGCGCAGGCUGGCGCGCUGCUCCAGGUGCAGCAGCCCCCCGAGAGCCCGCCCGCAGACCCCGACGAGGGCCCAGCGCCAGUGGUGGAGCCGCUCAAGUGCGCGCCCAAGACCUUCUGGGUGAACGAGGGCAAGCACGCCAAGUUCCGUUGCUACGUGAUGGGCAAGCCCGAGCCCGAGAUCGAAUGGCACUGGGAGGGCCUCCCGCUGCUCCCGGACCGCCGCCGCCUCAUGUACCGCGACCGCGACGGCGGCUUCGUGCUCAAGGUGCUCUACUGCCAGGCCAAGGACCGCGGGCUCUACGUCUGCGCCGCGCGCAACUCGGCGGGCCAGACGCUCAGCGCAGUGCAGCUGCACGUGAAAGAGCCCCGCCUCCGGUUCACAAGGCCCCUGCAGGAUGUGGAGGGCCGUGAGCACGGGAUUGCCGUGCUGGAGUGUAAAGUACCCAACUCCCGCAUCCCCACGGCCUGGUUCCGAGAGGACCAGCGGCUGCUGCCCUGCCGCAAGUACGAGCAGAUCGAAGAGGGCACCGUCCGGCGCCUCAUCAUCCACAGGCUGAAGGCAGAUGACGACGGUGUCUAUCUGUGCGAGAUGCGGGGCCGGGUGCGCACCGUGGCCAAUGUCACAGUCAAAGGGCCCAUCCUGAAGCGCCUGCCCCGGAAGCUCGAUGUCCUGGAGGGAGAGAAUGCAGUGCUGCUGGUGGAAACUCUAGAGGCUGGGGUCCAGGGACGGUGGAGUCGUGAUGGAGAGGAGCUGCCGGCCAUUUGCCAGACCACCUCGGGCCACAUGCAUGCGCUGGUCCUUCCAGGGGUCACCCGAGAAGAUGCUGGCGAGGUCAUCUUUAGCCUGGGCAACUCCCGUACCACUGCGCUGCUCAGAGUCAAAUGCGUCAAGCACAGUCCCCCAGGGCCCCCCGUGUCGGCUGAGAUGUUCAAGGGCCAGAAGAACACAGUCCUGCUGACCUGGAAGCCUCCCGAGCCUGCUCCUGAGACCCCAUUCAUCUACCGGCUGGAGCGGCAGGAAGUGGGCUCUGAAGACUGGAUUCAGUGCUUCAGCAUCGAGAAAGCCGGAGCCGUGGAGGUGCCGGGCGACUGUGUGCCCUCCGAGGGUGACUACCGCUUCCGCAUCUGCGCAGUCAGCGGACAUGGUCGCAGUCCUCACGUGGUGUUCCAUGGUUCUGCUCACCUUGUGCCCACAGCUCGCCUGGUGGCAGGUCUGGAAGAUGUGCAGGUAUACGACGGGGAAGAUGCCGUCUUCUCCCUCGAUCUCUCCACCAUCAUCCAGGGUACCUGGUUCCUUAAUGGGGAAGAGCUCAAGAGUCACAAGCCGGAGGGCCAGGUGGAACCUGGGGCCCUGCGGUACCAUGUGGAGCAGAAAGGCCUGCAGCACAGACUCAUCCUGCAUGCCGUCAAGCACCAGGACAGCGGGGCCCUGGUCGGCUUCAGCUGCCCCGGCGUGCAGGACUCAGCUGCCCUCACCAUCCAAGAGAGCCCGGUGCACAUCCUGAGCCCCCAGAACAAGGUGUCAUUGACCUUCACAACCUCAGAUCGGGUGGUGCUGACCUGUGAGCUCUCGAGGGUGGACUUCCCAGCGACGUGGUACAAGGAUGGGCAGAAGGUGGAGGAGAGUGAGCUGCUGGUGGUGAAGAUGGAUGGGCGCAAACACCGUCUGAUCCUGCCCGAGGCCAAAGUUCAGGACAGUGGCGAGUUUGAGUGCAGGACAGAAGGGGUCUCAGCCUUCUUCUACGUCACUGUCCAAGAUCCCCCCGUGCACAUCGUGGACCCCCGAGAGCAUGUGUUCGUGCAUGCCAUAACCUCCGAGUGUGUCAUGCUGGCCUGCGAGGUGGACCGAGAGGACGCCCCUGUGCGUUGGUACAAGGAUGGGCAGGAGGUGGAGGAGAAUGACUUCGUGGUGCUGGAGAGUGAGGGGCCCCAUCGCCGCCUGGUGCUGCCUGCCACUCAGCCCUCAGAUGGGGGCGAGUUUCAGUGUGUCGCCGGAGACGAGCGUGCCUACUUCACCGUCACCAUCACAGAUGUCUCCUCGUGGAUCGUGUAUCCCAGUGGCAAGGUGUAUGUGGCAGCUGUGCGCCUGGAGCGUGUGGUGCUGACCUGUGAGCUGUGCCGGCCUUGGGCGGAGGUGCGCUGGACCAAGGACGGAGAGGAGGUGGUGGAGAGCCCCGCGCUGCUCCUGCAGAAGGAAGACACCAUCCGCCGCCUGGUGCUGCCUGCCGUCCAGCUCGAGGACUCCGGCGAGUACUUGUGUGAAAUCGACGAUGAGUCAGCCUCCUUCACUGUCACCGUCACAGAACCCCCAGUGCGGAUCCUAUACCCCCGGGAUGAGGUGGCCUUGAUCGCUGUGACCUUGGAGUGUGUGGUGCUGAUGUGCGAGCUAUCUCGGGAGGAUGCCCCUGUGCGCUGGUACAAGGACGGGCUGGAAGUGGAGGAGAGCGAGGCCCUGGUGUUGGAGAGGGACGGGCCACGCUGCCGCCUGGUACUACCUGCUGCCCAGCCUGAGGAUGGGGGAGAGUUCGUAUGCGAUGCUGGAGAUGACUCAGCCUUCUUCACUGUCACUGUCACAGCCCCGCCAGAGAGGAUUGUGCAUCCAGCAGCCCGAUCCCUGGAUCUGCAUUUUGGGGCUCCCGGGCGCGUGGAGCUGCGCUGUGAGGUGGCCCCAGCUGGGUCUCAGGUGCGCUGGUACAAGGACGGGCUGGAAGUGGAGGCAUCAGACGCCCUGCAGCUGGGUGCCAAGGGGUCCACCCGCACCCUGACCCUGCCCCACGCCCAGCCUGAGGACGCCGGGGAGUAUGUGUGUGAGACCCGAGAUGAGGCCAUCACCUUCAAUGUCAUCCUGGCUGAGCCCCCAGUGCAGUUCCUUGCUCCAGAGAGAGCCCCGAGCCCGCUCUGUGUGGCUCCCGGGGAGCCAGUGGUGCUGAGCUGUGAACUGUCCCGGGCUGGUGCCCCUGUGAUCUGGAGCCACAAUGGGAAGCCCGUGCAGGAGGGAGAGGGCUUAGAGUUCCAUGCUGAGGGCCCCCGCCGAGUCCUCUGCAUCCAGGCUGCAGGCCCAGCCCAUGCAGGGCUCUACACCUGCCAGUCUGGAGCAGCCCCAGGAGCCCCGAGCCUCAGCUUCACCGUCCAGGUGGCUGAGCCCCCUGUGCGGGUGGUGGCUCCCGAGGCAGCCCAGACGAGAGUUCGGAGCACCCCAGGCGGGGACCUCGAGCUGGUGGUGCACCUCUCUGGGCCCGGGGGCCCUGUGCGCUGGUACAAGGACGGGGAGCGACUGGCAAGCCAGGGGCGGGUGCAGCUGGAGCAGGCCGGGGCCAGGCAGGUGCUGCGGGUGCAGGGGGCACGGAGUGGGGACGCUGGGGAGUACCUGUGCGACGCGCCCCAGGACAGCCGCAUCUUCCUCGUCAGCGUGGAAGAGCCGCUGCCGGUGAAGCUGGUCUCGGAGCUGACACCACUUACUGUCCAUGAGGGCGAUGAUGCCACGUUCCGGUGUGAAGUCUCCCCACCAGAUGCCGAUGUCACCUGGCUGCGCAAUGGAGCCGUCAUCACUCCGGGGCCCCAGGUGGAGAUGGCCCAGAACGGUUCAAGCCGCACCUUGACCCUGCGAGGCUGCCAGCUGGGGGAUGCGGGGACCGUGACUGUGCGUGCAGGGAGCACAGCCACAAGUGCCCGGCUCCAUGUUCGAGAGACAGAGCUGCUAUUCCUACGGCGGCUGCAGGACGUGCGGGCAGAGGAAGGCCAGGACGUGUGUUUCGAAGUGGAGACAGGCCGAGUGGGUGCAGUGGGAGCCGUGCGCUGGGUGCGAGGUGGGCAGCCCCUGCCCCACGACUCUCGCCUGUCUAUGGCCCAGGAUGAGCACAUCCACCGCCUCUUCAUCCAUGGUGUUGUACUGGCUGACCAGGGCACCUACGGCUGCGAGAGCCACCACGAUCGCACCCUGGCCAGGCUCAGCGUGAGGCCGAGGCAGCUGAGGGUGCUGCGGCCUCUGGAGGACGUAACCAUCAGUGAGGGUGGCAGUGCCACCUUCCAGCUGGAGCUGUCCCAGGAAGGUGUGACCGGGGAGUGGGCCCGGGGUGGAGUCCGGCUGCAUCCGGGGCCCAAGUGCCACAUCCACUCGGAGGGCCAGAGUCACCAAUUGGUACUCAGCGGCCUAGGCCUGGCCGACUCAGGCUGUGUCUCCUUCACGGCGGAUUCCCUGCGCUGCGCAGCCAGACUCGUUGUGAGAGGUGUGGGUGCCAAGACCACAGCCUGCCUGCUGACCUAUGUGGCCCUACUCACCCCAGAGGUCCCAGUGACCAUCGUUCGGGGGCCACAGGACCUAGAGGUGACCGAGGGCGACACAGCUACGUUCGAGUGCGAGCUUUCCCAAGCUUUGGCUGAUGUUACCUGGGAGAAGGACGGGCGCGCGCUCACUCCAAGCCCGCGGCUCCGGCUCCAGGCCCUCGGCACGCGCCGCCUUCUCCAGCUGCGGCGCUGCAGCCCCUCGGACGCCGGGACCUACAGCUGCGCGUUGGGAACGGCCCGCGUUGGGCCGGUCCGCCUGACCGUGCGCGCCCGCACAGUGGCGGUGCUCUCAGAGCUGCUGUCGGUGAGAGCCCGCGAAGGCGGCGGCGCUACGUUCGAGUGCACCGUGUCGGAGGCCGAGACCACGGGGCGCUGGGAGCUCGGAGGCCGCCCGCUGAGACCCGGAGCCCGCGUCCGCAUCCGACAAGAAGGGGCCUGCUGCGGCCCCACCCUCGUCCCCAGCGCUCCUCUGAGGUGGCUCCGGCCUCGCUAGCGACCCCGUCACCCCCAGGGAAGAAACACAUUCUGGUGCUGAGCGAGCUGCGCGCCGAGGACGCCGGUGAAGUCCGCUUCCAGGCGGGGCCCGCCCAGUCCUUGGCUCUGCUGGAAGUGGAGGCAUUGCCUCUCCAGAUGUGCCGCCGCCCCCCUCGCGAGAAGACCAUUCUGGUGGGCCGCCGGGCCGUGCUGGAAGUGACUGUGUCCCGCUCGGGGGGCCACGUGUGCUGGUUGCGGGAGGGGGCCGAGCUGUGCCCGGGAGAUAAGUAUGAGAUGCGCAGCCACGGCCCCACCCACAGCCUGGUCAUCCAUGACGUUCGACCUGAGGACCAGGGCACCUACUGCUGCCAGGCCGGCCAGGACAGCGCCCACACACGGCUGCUGGUAGAGGGUAACUAGGAGGACCGAACCAGGCCAGGCAGGUGCCCUUGGACAGCUUGGAAGGCGUGUGCCCUUACCCUGGGCAGGGGAGGAGAGACAGGGAAAUCAGAGGUGUCAGGAAACAAUAAAAGUGCUACAGCUCA
Saimiri boliviensis boliviensis (Bolivian squirrel monkey) is the source of this 6225-nucleotide non-coding RNA. The record is from RefSeq and is a predicted model, not a curated record. Lineage: Eukaryota; Metazoa; Chordata; Mammalia; Primates; Cebidae.